Long non-coding RNA from Salvelinus namaycush (lake trout), 3302 nucleotides. RefSeq lists it as uncharacterized. The record is from RefSeq and is a predicted model, not a curated record. The transcript has 4 exons. NCBI's taxonomy places the organism in Eukaryota, Metazoa, Chordata, Actinopteri, Salmoniformes, Salmonidae.
AGAAGGCUGUAACGUAACGAAAUGUGUAGAAAGGGAAGGGGUCUGAAUACUUUCUGAAUUCACUAUACAUUACAUAGCUAUACAGAAAGCCCUUAAAGGGAACUACCUCCUAGAACCAACUUAUCUGGUUAUAAAUGUUCUAUGUGGCAUCGAUAUGAGUCAGUAACAUUAAUUCUAGUGUCAGAAUUGACUACAAAGUGUAAAUAGGAUAAUUUUUUUCAUAAACUCAGUCUCGUCCCAAAACGAGAUUUGGAAGUGAGUGCUUCAUAAGUAUUUGGACAGCCAGGGCUCUGAGCUCAUAGGAAAUAUUGUGGGUUCAUUUUAGAGAGGCCAUCCUUACUGACAUAAAUGUGAAUUUAUGUAAGUAAAACUGCAAACCAUGGAGAAAAUAAUCCAAUAGAAUAAUCCUCUAAAUAAACCAAAGCAAUAUCACAAAUGAAAGGGAUGUACUGAUUGACAUAAUUUUAGGGUGGAGUUGAUUAACCCCCAUCUCUUUGUUCAGUCACAUGGGCAGGCAAACAACCAUGAAGCUGCUACUGGACAGGGAAGCAGACCCCAAUGCCUCCAGUGUGCCCAUGCCUGUCUUCUUCCUGGUAUGAAGGCAGGCCACAUCCAGGCUGUCAGGCGUCUGCUGGAGUGUGGAGCACGUGCCUGCCUUCAGAGCAAAAGGGAUUAUACCCUCUGCACUUCGCUGCAGCUCUCCCCAGGGCAGAGGGCCCAAAGAUCACAGAGCUGCAGGCUGCACACCGUGGGAGGGGGUUUGGAAUAAAGCCCUACUCCAAAACACAGUCUCGACUGGAUGCACCACCGGUCCAUUAUCGCCUGCGCAGCAGUGUGGCCAAUGAGAGCAGGAGGAGGAGGAUGGAGGGGUGGGUCUGGGUUCCUGUGCUCUUCACCUUCUUGUUCUCAGGAUGAUUGUAGUAUCUGGUGCUGUCUGCUUUGGGCACAAUGACACGAGGUCCAUUGCGGGCACACGACUCGCCUGUACACAUUCCACUUCCUGAACCACUGACGUCAUCACCUGGAGACAAGGGAAAGGCAUUGGUUAAUUGAAAUUAGGAUAUCAGUGAGACCAAGCGGUUCAACAUGUUUCUGAUACACUCCCAACUCUAACCUGCACAUCCAAUACCCCCCAUCCCCAAACCCAAUACCCCAUACUCUCUCACCCUGUCUACUAUACUCUUGGCCCUUCCUCCCUCCUCUCUCAACCCUCCUUCCCCCUCUCCUCUCCCGCCCGUCACUCACUGGCAUCCUGGAAGUCCACGUCAUUGCCGUUGAGGGCGUUCCUCAGCCGGUUGGUCAUGAUCUUCAGCUGCAUGAUCUGCUGGCGGAUAGUCAUGUCUGGCUUGGUGAUGUCGAUGUCCACUUCUGGGUUGUUGAUCUGGCUGGCCAGGCCGUCGCCCAUCACCUCAAGAAGAUACCUGGACACAGAACACAUGAUGGAGAUGUAUGACAAACCCUGAACUUUGUGUGCCUGCCACCUUGGGGGUCCCACAGGCCUGAAAUACCUACCACCAAACACACAGUAAAACACACACCUUUAGACACACACAUCUGAGACUCAAACACAUGUAAAAUAGCAUAGAGCGUGGGAAUAAAGGUUUAGUCAGGAUUUGGUGCUGGUUGAACAGACCUUGCUGGUGAAGACCUCUGUGUUCUCCUGCAUGUAGAGGAUGGCGUCUGAGAUACGGAGGGGGAUGGAGUAGAUGACCACGUCCACGCUGGGGUCAGAACUGAAACUAGAUGCCACCUGCAGCAUGGUGUCUGGACAAACAGAGACAGGAGAUUAACAAGGGGAAAACUGAGUGUGUGCUUAUAUUUGCUGUGUGUGUGUGUGUGUGUGUGUGUGUGUGUGUGUGUGUGUGUGUGUGUGUGUGUGUGUGUGUGUGUGUGUGUGUGUGUGUGUGUGUGUGUGUGUGUGUGUGUGUGUGCGUGCGUGCGUACGUGUCCAUGCAGUCGGGCGGACAUGUGUGUCUCUCACCGAUGAGGUUCUGCCACUCGGUGUCGAGGUCGGCCUGGUUGGCGAGGCAUCCCUUCAUGACAUUUCUGCAGUAGUUGGCACAGGGCUUGACUGAGGCCAGGCCUCUACAGUGAGGACAGUACACCAGCUUCAUCAUGGCACGGGUACACUCUGGGCUGAGAGGUACCUGGAGGAAAAGACCAAUCAUCAUCAUCAUCAUCAUCAUCAUCAUCAUCAUCAUCAUCAAUGAGCUUUGCAUCUUUUCAAUUUUGACUUCAAUUAUGAGGAGUUAUGAGUAAUACAGCGAGUUGGAAUGGGAAGGUUAUGUUUUGUAAAAUAACUGCUAUUCUGUAUUCUAUUUUCACUCAGGCAUGAUGACUGGCGCCUGUGUAGAGUAGAGAGUUGUUCUUUGCUACUUCUUAGGUCUCUAUAUGUAUCAAGUCAACUGAGCAUAUCUGUGCUCCAGCGAUAGAGGCCGUUACACUUGUCAGUGCGAAGACUGAUGAAAAGCCCAGUAAAGCUCACUUAGAGACAUCUUUCCUCCCCUGAUGUACUGACUGGUUCCCUCCAGCACUGCCAUUUUGUACACAGGUCUCUGAAUGCGUACACCAUCUCCAAUACAGAGACAGAAGUUCACCCUCAUUGCAUUUGUGGUUAUAAUAUGUAUUAUAUUCUUGAUUAUCAUGUAUUGAUUAUGAUUAAGAGUAUUGUGCGAUAUGGAAGGGCAACACUACCAUGCAGCUAACACAUGACCGUGGUUAGAUAGUGGAUAAAGAAGUGGAUAUGUAGGUCUAUGUUGUGUAGAUGUUUGUGGUCAGAGGAGUCGGCCAUCAUUUCCAAGGACAAUCACGCAUUCAGAGGAGGACCAUGUCAUUUUCCCAGAUUGCAGUUUCAAAUUUAGCUCCUUAAUGUGGAUGUCUAGAGUUUGACACCAUUAAGAACUACAAGCAAACUGAUCAGAUAACAAGAUUAAAGAGGCAUCAUUACAACCGGUCCUUGUAUUGCCAGACUUCACAGGGACACAUCAACAGGGCUUAAUGUAAACAGACAGCCGGCUUCCUAACACGUCCGACAGUCACCGAUUGAUUGUGACAUCCCCGUGUGAGAUCUCCUACAGUGUGACACAACAGGAGGGGGAGUGGAGCAGAGCAGAGGCCAGUUAUUGGUGGCUGCUAAAUUAAGAUCAGUGAUGGGACAGACGCCCAUGAUGCCUCACUGUUACAGCAGCCACCAUCACUGGCAGUAAUGACAAUAAUCAACCAUAGCUCAAAGGAAUUCUUCCAUCUGCAUGCUCUCUCUCUCUCUCUCUCUCUCUCUCUCUCUCUCUCUCUCUCUCUCUCUC